UCGAAUUACCCAAAUCACAAAAAAUUCAAAGAAAACAUAAAAGUUGAGUCUUUACAUUGAAUUUUAAGUUUCUUAAAUUACCCAAAUCACAAAAAUUUCUAAAAAUUCCUUCUUAAAUUUUUUGGCCCUCACUUUUCAAUCUUUUCGUAAAGCAUAAAGAAUAAGAAGAUGAAGAUGAUAAAACGAAAAGAAGAAUGAGAAGAGGAGGAAGAAGAUUAAGAAAAAGAAAAAAGAAGAAAAAUACAAGAAAG
RNAcentral lists this long non-coding RNA (251 nucleotides) under Capsicum annuum. Its description in RNAcentral is "long non-coding RNA (CANN_LNC022104)". Lineage: Eukaryota; Viridiplantae; Streptophyta; Magnoliopsida; Solanales; Solanaceae. The record is from RNAcentral.